GAUUGGGGAUGGGCUCGCGGCCUAUCAGCUUGUUGGUGGGGUAAUGGCCUACCAAGGCGACGACGGGUAGCCGGCCUGAGAGGGCGACCGGCCACACUGGGACUGAGACACGGCCCAGACUCCUACGGGAGGCAGCAGUGGGGAAUAUUGCACAAUGGGGGAAACCCUGAUGCAGCGACGCAGCGUGCGGGAUGACGGCCUUCGGGUUGUAAACCGCUUUCAGCAGGGAAGAAGCGAAAGUGACGGUACCUGCAGAAGAAGUACCGGCUAACUACGUGCCAGCAGCCGCGGUAAUACGUAGGGUACGAGCGUUGUCCGGAAUUAUUGGGCGUAAAGAGCUCGUAGGUGGUUGGUCACGUCUGCUGUGGAAACGCAACGCUUAACGUUGCGCGUGCAGUGGGUACGGGCUGACUAGAGUGCAGUAGGGGAGUCUGGAAUUCCUGGUGUAGCGGUGAAAUGCGCAGAUAUCAGGAGGAACACCGGUGGCGAAGGCGGGACUCUGGGCUGUAACUGACACUGAGGAGCGAAAGCAUGGGGAGCGAACAGGAUUAGAUACCCUGGUAGUCCAUGCCGUAAACGUUGGGCACUAGGUGUGGGGGGCAUUCCACGUUCUCCGCGCCGUAGC
Molecule: ribosomal RNA, 625 nt
Filed under: Brevibacterium aureum
Lineage: Bacteria; Bacillati; Actinomycetota; Actinomycetes; Micrococcales; Brevibacteriaceae
Description: bacterial SSU rRNA
Rfam family: Bacterial small subunit ribosomal RNA
Source: RNAcentral